Molecule: unclassified non-coding RNA, 235 nt
Filed under: Hevea brasiliensis (rubber tree)
Lineage: Eukaryota; Viridiplantae; Streptophyta; Magnoliopsida; Malpighiales; Euphorbiaceae
Source: RNAcentral
CUCAAAGAUUAGCUCAUUGCUUUGCCAAUGGCCUCGAAGCACGUUUGGCUGGGACAGGAACCCAGAACUAUACUGCCUUGUCUUCUGAAAAAGCUUCAGCUGCAGAUAUGUUGAAAGCUUACCACGCCUACAUUUCUGCCUGUCCGUUUAAGAAGAUUGCAAUCAUCUUUGCAAACCUAUAGUAUUCUGGCUGCUUCAAAGAAUGCAACAACACUUCAUAUAAUAGACUUUGGUA